CACUCCGGAAUUAUCACAGCUGGAUUUUCCCCUUUCCUCGCACUUUUAUAUGUCUGCCUUUUUAGGAGGAUGGAAUGGCCCUGCCUAGGAUGUGACACUGGUUAUGACAUCUCAGCACUUGGGGUGUCUGGUGGCAGCUCAGUGCUUUCAAUGUGCAGGAUCGUGAAGAGGAAUUGCUGGGAUGAAAAACGAGUUUGGUGGGCCCCAGCUGUGGUGGAACACAAGAAGGGAAUGAGCUGGUUCUUGGUUUUGGUGGGGAAUUUAGAAAGGCCUCCAAAAUGGGACAAGAACCUCCAGAGCUCAGAGCCUGAGGCAUUGUCACCUCUGGGAGUUACUGAAGGAUUUUCUUCCUUAUGUCCUGCUGAACUGUCAUGGCAAGAGGACCUUGAAGAUGAAGUCAAGCAUGAGUUUAACUGCACCCAUUUUGGCAGCCCUAGAGGUGCCUUUAGUGCUGUUCUUCAAGUUGCUCCAAUAUUUUCUUCUGUGUCACCAAAGAGAGUCCUGCAAAGGAGAAAGGGAGUUUGCCAGCCUGUUAACCUGGGGUACACAGAGGAAAUGAAAUGCACAAUUUUCCCAGUGUACCUGACUCUCUCCCUGGUGCAGGAAAUCUGUCCCAGCCUUGAGUCACUGAAAUAUGCAGAGCAUCUCCAAGAGUCCUGAGGUCUGUGCUGUAGGACACCCCUGUGAAGAGAAGCUACCAAAGGUCUAAAAGUGCUGAAAUCUGACUGAACCCACACAGGAAGGGGAAGUAAAAGUGAAAAAGGGUUUGAAACAGUUAACAGUGACAGUAGAAAAAAAAAAAAAAAAAAAAAAGAAGUUUCCAGUUUUUCCCCUUAUAAUUUUAAAUCCCAGAAUGAUGGCAUGGCCAUGUAUUUCCUGGGGCUGUUGCAGUCCUUGAGAGCUCUUUCAGCUCAUGUGGGCAAAGGGGACAUGAGGGCUGUGGAAAAAGGGAUUAUUUAUGUGGGUAUCACUGUGAGCAUCCCAUUUCCUUGGGAAGCUCUGUGAAAGGGCAGGGCUUGCAUUUACUUAUUUUUUCUUUUUUUUAAAAAGUAAAGCUUCCUGCUCUUACCCCAGAGCCUGAAUCUCUGCAAACUGAGGCCCAGAGUUCAUUUGCCAUGUGUGUGGUGUCUUUGUGCUCUCCAGUAACACCUGAGUGUUUGGAUACUGUCUUUGGGGAGGGAUUUUCCAUUCAGUGAUGAGGAUCCUCAGUUUCCCACUGUUUUGUUCCUGCUUCAUUGCCUUGAUCAGCUGAGCUCUUUUUGAGACAAGGCUUGACCCCACACCAGGGAUGUCUUGGCAGGGCCUGGCUGGGACCCAGCUGGCAGAUCAGAGAGCAACUCUGGGCUCCCUCAGGAUCCACCACAGGGAUGUGCCAAGUAAAUCUUAGCAGAGAAAAUGACCCCUGGUAUGGGCUUUGCUCGUGCCAGCUGAAACACAGCCUUGAAGCUGCUUGCUUCUUGUUUGCCCAACAGCCCUCACAAAGCUGGGGGAUGCCAUAAGAAAAGCUGGAAAAUUGCAGUACUUCAUCUUCUACCCAUUUCUGAGCCUGAGCAUCCAAGGAAAGGCACAAGUGAUUGGUUUCUGCAGGGCCAGGCAGUGGACACAGGUUUUUACUUGUGCCUAAAUGGCAUGGAAAUCAUGGCAUGGAGGUUUGUCCCUG
Molecule: long non-coding RNA, 1660 nt
Organism: Cyanistes caeruleus (blue tit)
Lineage: Eukaryota; Metazoa; Chordata; Aves; Passeriformes; Paridae
Source: Ensembl